GAAAUGCGAUAAGUAGUGUGAAUUGCAGAAUUCAGUGAAUCAUCGAAUCUUUGAACGCACAUUGCGCCCUUUGGUAUUCCAAAGGGCAUGCCUGUUCGAGCGUCAUUUGUACCCUCAAGCUUUGCUUGGUGUUGGGCGUCUUGUCUCCAGUUCGCUGGAGACUCGCCUUAAAGUAAUUGGCAGCCGGCCUACUGGUUUCGGAGCGCAGCACAAGUCGCGCUCUCUUCCAGCCAAUGUCAGCAUCCACAAAGCCUUUUUUCAACUUUUGACCUCGGAUCAGGUAGGGAUACCCGCUGAACUUAAGC
RNAcentral lists this unclassified non-coding RNA (305 nucleotides) under plant metagenome. Its description in RNAcentral is "partial contains 5.8S ribosomal RNA, internal transcribed spacer 2, and large subunit ribosomal RNA". The stretch from base 1 to 105 matches the Rfam family "5.8S ribosomal RNA", at positions 50 to 154 of the family's 154-position model. The record is from RNAcentral.